RNAcentral lists this ribosomal RNA (408 nucleotides) under Bufotes viridis (European green toad). RNAcentral describes it as "partial 12S ribosomal RNA". Lineage: Eukaryota; Metazoa; Chordata; Amphibia; Anura; Bufonidae. The record is from RNAcentral.
GGUUUGGUCCUAGCCUUGCAGUCAGUUAUUACUUAAUAUACACAUGCAAGUAUCCGCCCCCCUGUGAAAACGCCCUUUAAUCCCCUCUAGGGACAAGGAGCUGGUAUCAGGCACGAAAAUCUGCCCAAGACACCUAGCUAUGCCACACCCACAAGGGAAUUCAGCAGUGAUUAACAUUGAGCAUUAGCGCAAGCUUGACUCAGUUAAAGUAAGAUAGAGCCGGCUAAUCUGGUGCCAGCCGCCGCGGUUACACCAUGUGGCUCAAAUUGACCCCUUCCGGCGUAAAGCGUGAUUAAAGUUAUUUAUUAAUAGAGUUAAACUGAAACUAAGCUGUGACACGCCUGUUUAUCAAGAAACCCAAAAACGAAAGUUACUCUAACUUAAUCAACUUGACUUCACGACAGCUGG